UCUCUAAUGAUGGUGAGAGAGUCUCUUUUAUAGAAUAAGGGUUCGCUCCUCAAUACAUAAGUGAUGGGUUAGGAGUGAUACUCGCGGCAAGGCGAUUGCUCAGCUGGCGGCUAUGCUCUCUAAUGAAGGUGAAGGAGUCCCUUUUAUAGAAUAAGGGUUCGCUCCUCAAUACAUAAGUGAUGGGCUAAGAGUCUAUCUCUAAUGAAGAUGAGAGAGUCCCUUUUAUAAAAUAAGGGUUCGCUCCUCAAUGCAUGAAUAGUGGGUGCUCUCUAAUGAAAGUGAGGGAGUCCCUUUUAUAGAAUAAGAGUUCGUUCCUCAGUACAUAAAUAAUGGGCUAAGUCCCCCAAGUAUUUUUCAUGAGGCCCAGUUGCGGAAGCCCAAUAUAUGGUACAUAGUGUAGUCCCCUAAGUCUUCAGU
Molecule: long non-coding RNA, 417 nt
Filed under: Malus domestica (apple)
Lineage: Eukaryota; Viridiplantae; Streptophyta; Magnoliopsida; Rosales; Rosaceae
Description: long non-coding RNA (MDOM_LNC009014)
Source: RNAcentral